GGGAGCGGAUGGAGUACUGGUGUCUCCUGCGGUCUUCAAAACCGACACGACGAUCCGCGAGGUCGUCGGCUGGGUUCGAUUCCCAGACGCUCCCGCCA
This 98-nucleotide transfer RNA is filed under the name Gemmatimonadota bacterium. RNAcentral's name for it is "tRNA-Sec". It matches the Rfam family "Selenocysteine transfer RNA". The record is from RNAcentral. Lineage: Bacteria; Pseudomonadati; Gemmatimonadota. RNAcentral also lists the same sequence under 1 other name.